CCUACGGGAGGCAGCAGUGAGGAAUAUUGGUCAAUGGGCGUAAGCCUGAACCAGCCAAGUCGCGUGAGGGAUGAAGGUUCUAUGGAUCGUAAACCUCUUUUAUAAGGGAAUAAAGUGUGGGACGCGUCCCAUUUUGUAUGUACCUUAUGAAUAAGGAUCGGCUAACUCCGUGCCAGCAGCCGCGGUAAUACGGAGGAUGCGAGCGUUAUCCGGAUUUAUUGGGUUUAAAGGGUGCGCAGGCGGGCUUUUAAGUCAGCGGUGAACGGCUGUGGCUCAACCAUAGAAUUGCCGUUGAAACUGGUGGGCUUGAGUAUGUGUGAGGCAGGCGGAAUGCGUGGUGUAGCGGUGAAAUGCUGAGAUAUCACGCAGAACCCCGAUUGCGAAGGCAGCCUGCCAGGCCAUGACUGACGCUGAUGCACGAAAGCGUGGGGAUCAAACAGGAUUAGAUACCCGGGUAGUC
RNAcentral lists this ribosomal RNA (460 nucleotides) under uncultured bacterium. Its description in RNAcentral is "partial 16S ribosomal RNA". It matches the Rfam family "Bacterial small subunit ribosomal RNA", at positions 338 to 795 of the family's 1533-position model. The record is from RNAcentral.